RNAcentral lists this ribosomal RNA (167 nucleotides) under Aniculus miyakei. RNAcentral's name for it is "partial 16S rRNA". The record is from RNAcentral. Lineage: Eukaryota; Metazoa; Arthropoda; Malacostraca; Decapoda; Diogenidae.
UCUUAACACUAGUUGGUAUUAGCUUUUUGGUUUAUAUGUGUAAGAGAGGUUAAUGUUAUUGUGUUGUGUUGGGGCGAUGAAAAUAUAGUAUAAUUAACUGUUUUAUUGAAAAUACAAAAAUUUUUGUUUUAUUUUUAGAUCCUUUGUAUAGAUUAAAAGAUUAAGUU